AGUGAACGCUGGCGGUAGGCCUAACACAUGCAAGUCGAACGGCAGCACAGAGGAGCUUGCUCCUUGGGUGGCGAGUGGCGGACGGGUGAGGAAUACAUCGGAAUCUACUCUGUCGUGGGGGAUAACGUAGGGAAACUUACGCUAAUACCGCAUACGACCUACGGGUGAAAGCAGGGGAUCUUCGGACCUUGCGCGAUUGAAUGAGCCGAUGUCGGCUUAGCUAGUUGGCGGGGUAAAGGCCCACCAAGGCGACGAUCCGUAGCUGGUCUGAGCGGAGGAUGAGCGACACUGGAACACAGACACGGUCCAGACUCCUACGGGAGGCAGCAGUGGGGAAUAUUGGACAAUGGGCGCAAGCCUGAUCCAGCCAUACCGCGUGGGUGAAGAAGGCCUUCGGGUUGUAAAGCCCUUUUGUUGGGAAAGAAAUCCAUCUGGUUAAUACCCGGGUGGGAUGACGGUACCCAAAGAAUAAGCACCGGCUAACUUCGUGCCAGCCGCCGCCGCCG
This 506-nucleotide ribosomal RNA is filed under the name uncultured bacterium. Its description in RNAcentral is "partial 16S ribosomal RNA". It matches the Rfam family "Bacterial small subunit ribosomal RNA", at positions 29 to 523 of the family's 1533-position model. The record is from RNAcentral.